Molecule: unclassified non-coding RNA, 404 nt
Filed under: soil metagenome
Description: partial contains 5.8S ribosomal RNA, internal transcribed spacer 2, and large subunit ribosomal RNA
Rfam family: 5.8S ribosomal RNA (bases 1-122)
Source: RNAcentral
GAUGAAGAACGUAGCGAAAUGCGAUACUUGGUGUGAAUUGCAGAAUCCCGUGAACCAUCGAGUUUUUGAACGCAAGUUGCGCCCGAAGCCUUUUGGCCGAGGGCACGUCUGCCUGGGCGUCACGCAUCGCGUCGCCCCCCACAAUUCUCCGUAAAGGGAACGUGUGUUUUGGGGGCGGAUAUUGGUCUCCCGUGCUCAUGGCGUGGUUGGCCGAAAUAGGAGUCCUUUCGAUGGACGCACGAACUAGUGGUGGUCGUAAAAACCCUCGUCUUUUGUUUCGUGCUGUUGCUCGCAAGGUAAACUCUUUAAAAACCCCAAUGUGUCGUAUCUUGACGACGCUUCGACCGCGACCCCAGGUCAGGCGGGACUACCCGCUGAGUUUAAGCAUAUCAAUAAGCGGAGGA